GACGAACGCUGGCGGCGUGCUUAACACAUGCCAGUCGAACGCUGAAGCUUGGUGCUUGCACUGGGUGGAUGAGUGGCGAACGGGUGAGUAAUACGUGAGUAACCUGCCCUUGACUCUGGGAUAAGCCUGGGAAACUGGGUCUAAUACUGGAUACGACAUGUCACCGCAUGGUGGUGUGUGGAAAGGGUUUUACUGGUUUUGGAUGGGCUCACGGCCUAUCAGCUUGUUGGUGGGGUAAUGGCUCACCAAGGCGACGACGGGUAGCCGGCCUGAGAGGGUGACCGGCCACACUGGGACUGAGACACGGCCCAGACUCCUACGGGAGGCAGCAGUGGGGAAUAUUGCACAAUGGGCGGAAGCCUGAUGCAGCGACGCCGCGUGAGGGAUGACGGCCUUCGGGUUGUAAACCUCUUUCAGCACGGAAGAAGCGAAAGUGACGGUACGUGCAGAAGAAGCGCCGGCUAGCUACGUG
This 472-nucleotide ribosomal RNA is filed under the name uncultured bacterium. RNAcentral describes it as "partial 16S ribosomal RNA". It matches the Rfam family "Bacterial small subunit ribosomal RNA", at positions 28 to 507 of the family's 1533-position model. The record is from RNAcentral.